Molecule: long non-coding RNA, 497 nt
Organism: Pezoporus occidentalis (night parrot)
Lineage: Eukaryota; Metazoa; Chordata; Aves; Psittaciformes; Psittacidae
Exons: 3
Source: RefSeq, a predicted model, not a curated record
UUUUUCCCCUGCUUCUGGAGAAGGGAGGAAAGGUGGUUUGGUUGUGAUGUUCAUGCUGAUGAAGAGUUAGUUGUUUAAUGAGACAUCUUGAGCCACACAGCAGUUGAGCUUUGAUCAUUUGGGACUGAAUAGUGACUACCCCUGUGAAGCCACAGCAAAUAUGUGAAAAUCAGUGAGCUGUAGAACACUAAUGAGAAGAUGCAGUGCCUUCCUGCACAACAGCCACGGUAAUCUGUGUGAUAAAUAAGAAGUUACUCAUAGACGCCUCUACUGUUCUUUUCCUCUUCAUUAUUACCAUGUAGCAAUUUUUGUAUUCUGUUGGGAUUUGAGCUGCAGGAACAACUGAAUGGCCUGAAGUUCAACAGUGCUGCUGUGUGUACAUACAUAUGCAUAUGCAUACUUGGAGAGAGACAGAGUAUGCUGUUGGCUUCCUCACUUGUCACCUUUCAUGUCUGGGUCUCCUUUUUAAAAUAUUAGACCAAUUCUUGAUGUUCAAG